CAGCAGCCACGGUAAUACGAAGGGGGCUAGCGUUGCUCGGAAUUACUGGGCGUAAAGGGAGCGUAGGCGGAUCGUUAAGUUGGGGGUGAAAGCCCGGGGCUCAACCUCGGGAUUGCCUUCAAUACUGGCGAUCUUGAGUAUGGAAGAGGUAUGUGGAACUCCGAGUGUAGAGGUGAAAUUCGUAGAUAUUCGGAAGAACACCAGUGGCGAAGGCGACAUACUGGUCCAUUACUGACGCUGAGGCUCGAAAGCGUGGGGAGCAAACAGGAUUAGAUACCCGAGUAGUCCCUGUCUCUUAUAC
Molecule: ribosomal RNA, 301 nt
Filed under: uncultured bacterium
Lineage: Bacteria
Description: partial 16S ribosomal RNA
Rfam family: Bacterial small subunit ribosomal RNA
Source: RNAcentral